GAGGAGCACGAGUGCGGGGUGGAUCGAGGCGAGGAGCACGACCGUCACGACGAGGCGGAGGACCCAACCGGCAGUCGUGAACAGCGACAUGUACAUGUGGUCCAGGACGA
This 110-nucleotide unclassified non-coding RNA is filed under the name plant metagenome. Its description in RNAcentral is "partial contains 5.8S ribosomal RNA, internal transcribed spacer 2, and large subunit ribosomal RNA". The record is from RNAcentral.